AUCUAUAUAGUAUAAUAUUAUUAUAUUUGACUUCCAAUCAAAUGAUCUAUUUAAAUAGUAUAGAUA
This 66-nucleotide transfer RNA is filed under the name Dermestes dimidiatus. Its description in RNAcentral is "tRNA-Gly". It matches the Rfam family "tRNA". From Rfam's summary of the family: Transfer RNA (tRNA) molecules are approximately 80 nucleotides in length. Their secondary structure includes four short double-helical elements and three loops (D, anti-codon, and T loops). Lineage: Eukaryota; Metazoa; Arthropoda; Insecta; Coleoptera; Dermestidae. The record is from RNAcentral.